RNAcentral lists this ribosomal RNA (419 nucleotides) under bacterium. RNAcentral describes it as "partial 16S ribosomal RNA". It matches the Rfam family "Bacterial small subunit ribosomal RNA", at positions 355 to 776 of the family's 1533-position model. The record is from RNAcentral.
UGGGGGAUAUUGCACAAUGGGCGAAAGCCUGAUGCAGCGACGCCGCGUGGGGGAUGAAGGCCUUCGGGUUGUAAACUUCUUUUGCUCUGAACAAGGCGCACCAUGGGGUGUGUUGAGUGUAGGGGUUGAUUAGCGCCGGCUAACUACGUGCCAGCAGCCGCGGUAAUACGUAGGGCGCGAGCGUUGUCCGGAAUUAUUGGGCGUAAAGGGCUUGUAGGUGGCUGGUUGCGUCUGUCGUGAAAGCUCAUGGCUUAACUGUGGGUUUGCGGUGGGUACGGGCUGGCUUGAGUGCAGUAGGAGAGGCUGGAAUUCCUGGUGGAGCGGUGGAAUGCGCAGAUAUCAGGAGGAAUACCGGUGGCGAAGGCGGGUCUCUGGGCUGUUACUGACACUGAGGAGCGAAAGCAUGGGGAGCGAACAGG